Molecule: ribosomal RNA, 497 nt
Filed under: uncultured bacterium
Lineage: Bacteria
Description: partial 16S ribosomal RNA
Rfam family: Bacterial small subunit ribosomal RNA
Source: RNAcentral
GAUGAACGCUGGCGGCGUGCCUAAUACAUGCAAGUCGAGCGAACGGACGAGAAGCUUGCUUCUCUGAUGUUAGCAGCGGACGGGUGAGUAACACGUGGAUAACCUACCUAUAAGACUGGGAUAACUUCGGGAAACCGGAGCUAAUACCGGAUAAUAUUUUGAACCGCAUGGUUCAAAAGUGAAAGACGGUCUUGCUGUCACUUAUAGAUGGAUCCGCGCUGCAUUAGCUAGUUGGUAAGGUAACGGCUUACCAAGGCAACGAUGCAUAGCCGACCUGAGAGGGUGAGUGGCCACACUGGAACUGAGACACGGUCCAGACUCCUACAGGAGGCAGCAGUAGGGAAUCUUCCGCAAUGGGCGAAAGCCUGACGGAGCAACGCCGCGUGAGUGAUGAAGGUCUUCGGAUCGUAAAACUCUGUUAUUAGGGAAGAACAUAUGUGUAAGUAACUGUGAACAUCUUGACGGUACCUAAUCAGAAAGCCACGGCUAACUACGUG